CUGGCGGCAUGUCUAUACAUGCAGUCGAACGAGCUUCCGUUGAAUGACGUGCUUGCACUGAUUUCAACAAUGAAGCGAGUGGCGAACUGGUGAGUAACACGUGGGAAAUCUGCCCAGAAGCAGGGGAUAACACUUGGAAACAGGUGCUAAUACCGUAUAACAACAAAAUCCGCAUGGAUUUUGUUUGAAAGGUGGCUUCGGCUAUCACUUCUGGAUGAUCCCGCGGCGUAUUAGUUAGUUGGUGAGGUAAAGGCCCACCAAGACGAUGAUACGUAGCCGACCUGAGAGGGUAAUCGGCCACAUUGGGACUGAGACACGGCCCAAACUCCUACGGGAGGCAGCAGUAGGGAAUCUUCCACAAUGGACGAAAGUCUGAUGGAGCAAUGCCGCGUGAGUGAAGAAGGGUUUCGGCUCGUAAAACUCUGUUGUUAAAGAAGAACACCUUUGAGAGUAACUGUUCAAGGGUUGACGGUAUUUAACCAGAAAGCCACGGCUAACUACGUGCCAGCAGCCGCGGUAAUACGUAGGUGGCAAGCGUUGUCCGGAUUUAUUGGGCGUAAAGCGAGCGCAGGCGGUUUUUUAAGUCUGAUGUGAAAGCCUUCGGCUUAACCGGAGAAGUGCAUCGGAAACUGGGAGACUUGAGUGCAGAAGAGGACAGUGGAACUCCAUGUGUAGCGGUGGAAUGCGUAGAUAUAUGGAAGAACACCAGUGGCGAAGGCGGCUGUCUAGUCUGUAACUGACGCUGAGGCUCGAAAGCAUGGGUAGCGAACAGGAUUAGAUACCCUGGUAGUCCAUGCCGUAAACGAUGAGUGCUAAGUGUUGGAGGGUUUCCGCCCUUCAGUGCUGCAGCUAACGCAUUAAGCACUCCGCCUGGGGAGUACGACCGCAAGGUUGAAACUCAAAGGAAUUGACGGGGGCCCGCACAAGCGGUGGAGCAUGUGGUUUAAUUCGAAGCUACGCGAAGAACCUUACCAGGUCUUGACAUCUUCUGCCAAUCUUAGAGAUAGACGUUCCCUUCGGGGACAGAAUGACAGGUGGUGCAUGGGUUGUCGUCAGCCUCGUGUCGUGGGAUGU
RNAcentral lists this ribosomal RNA (1074 nucleotides) under Levilactobacillus brevis. Its description in RNAcentral is "bacterial SSU rRNA". It matches the Rfam family "Bacterial small subunit ribosomal RNA", at positions 36 to 1075 of the family's 1533-position model. The record is from RNAcentral. Lineage: Bacteria; Bacillati; Bacillota; Bacilli; Lactobacillales; Lactobacillaceae.